Solanum dulcamara is the source of this 594-nucleotide long non-coding RNA. RefSeq lists it as uncharacterized. The transcript is spliced from 2 exons. The record is from RefSeq and is a predicted model, not a curated record. NCBI's taxonomy places the organism in Eukaryota, Viridiplantae, Streptophyta, Magnoliopsida, Solanales, Solanaceae.
CUUUGACAUAAAAUGAACGGAAGGAAUAUGAGCCAUGAGGCAUAAGCAAGUAUGAGUCAAUCAUUGUCUAUGUAACAAUUGAUUAUUAUAUUCAUUAGUUUGAUAUAAACACGUAAAUAAGUUUUGACUCCCUCUUUUGGAAUGAGACUUGCUAUAAAAAGAACAUAUUUGGAGGCCAAGAUGUUAACCAAGUUUAGUGAGGAAGAGGAAGAAAUUAAGUAUGUCUAUCAACAAAGGCACUACUACACGUGCUUUGUUAGUGAUGGUUUUAGUUGUGUUCUCCAUGAAUUCUUGGUGUGAAUACGGUGAAGCAGCAAGAAUAUUCUUAGACUUCUCCACAAGUAUUCAAGCUAUGCGAAGGAUGGACAGCCUGGGCAGCAGCCACCGCCGGAGCACCAGGGCAUCGCCCCGUGGGGGCAAUCCUUCCCCGGCAGCGAAUGUGAACGACCAUGUCCAUCACUAGUGCUGUAUCUCUAUUUUGUUGUGGACUUAAUUCUCUUUUGUCAUUUGAUUAUAGUAAAGAGACUUUGUUUAAUUUUAUUUGUGUUUAUGAGAUUUCAAAUAUAAAAGGAAUGAAAGUAAAAUUUAACUUAG